RNAcentral lists this ribosomal RNA (397 nucleotides) under uncultured bacterium. Its description in RNAcentral is "partial 16S ribosomal RNA". It matches the Rfam family "Bacterial small subunit ribosomal RNA", at positions 523 to 918 of the family's 1533-position model. The record is from RNAcentral.
AUACGUAGGGGGCGAGCGUUGUCCGGAAUGAUUGGGCGUAAAGGGCGCGUAGGCGGCCCGGUAAGUCUGGAGUGAAAGUCCUGUUUUUAAGAUGGGAAUUGCUUUGGAUACUGUCGGGCUUGAGUGCAGGAGAGGUAAGUGGAAUUCCCAGUGUAGCGGUGAAAUGCGUAGAGAUUGGGAGGAACACCAAUGGCGAAGGCGACUUACUGGACUGUAACUGACGCUGAGGCGCGAAAGUGUGGGGAGCAAACAGGAUUAGAUACCCUGGUAGUCCACACUGUAAACGAUGAAUGCUAGGUGUAAGAGGUAUCGACCCCUUUUGUGCCGGAGUCAACACAAUAAGCAUUCCGCCUGGGGAGUACGGCCGCAAGGUUGAAACUCAAAGGAAUUGACGGGG